CGGGGCGUGGCUCAGGUGGCUAGAGCACACGGUUCGGGACCGUGAGGUCGCUGGUUCAAGUCCAGUCGCCCCGA
Molecule: transfer RNA, 74 nt
Filed under: Candidatus Endomicrobiellum cryptotermitis
Lineage: Bacteria; Pseudomonadati; Elusimicrobiota; Endomicrobiia; Endomicrobiales; Endomicrobiaceae
Description: tRNA-Pro
Rfam family: tRNA
About the family: Transfer RNA (tRNA) molecules are approximately 80 nucleotides in length. Their secondary structure includes four short double-helical elements and three loops (D, anti-codon, and T loops).
Source: RNAcentral